UCCAGACUCCUACGGGAGGCAGCAGUGGGGAAUAUUGCACAAUGGGGGAAACCCUGAUGCAGCGACGCCGCGUGAGUGAAGAAGUAUUUCGGUAUGUAAAGCUCUAUCAGCAGGGAAGAAAAAAGACGGUACCUGACUAAGAAGCCCCGGCUAACUACGUGCCAGCAGCCGCGGUAAUACGUAGGGGGCAAGCGUUAUCCGGAUUUACUGGGUGUAAAGGGAGCGUAGACGGCGCGGCAAGUCUGAAGUGAAAGGCAGGGGCUUAACCCCUGAACUGCUUUGGAAACUGCCAUGCUAGAGUGCUGGAGAGGUAAGUGGAAUUCCGAGUGUAGCGGUGAAAUGCGUAGAUAUUCGGAGGAACACCGGCGGCGAAGGCGGCCAACUGGGCUUUAACUGACGCUGAGGCUCGAAAGUGUGGGGAGCAAACAGGAUUAGAUACCCUAGUA
RNAcentral lists this ribosomal RNA (446 nucleotides) under uncultured bacterium. RNAcentral's name for it is "partial 16S ribosomal RNA". It matches the Rfam family "Bacterial small subunit ribosomal RNA", at positions 330 to 792 of the family's 1533-position model. The record is from RNAcentral.